This 333-nucleotide ribosomal RNA is filed under the name Triticum aestivum (bread wheat). RNAcentral describes it as "partial small subunit ribosomal RNA". The record is from RNAcentral. Lineage: Eukaryota; Viridiplantae; Streptophyta; Magnoliopsida; Poales; Poaceae.
AUGCAGAAGCCAUUUCUUUCAACACAGUCACAGUUCCAACUUAUGUCACCACAACAGCAACAGCAACUCUUAGCACAGGCUCAAGUACAAGGGAACCUUAACAACUCAACUAAUUAUGGGGAUAUGGACCCCCGCAGAUUUACGACAUUGACCAGGGGUGGCAUGAAUGGUAAAGACGGACAACCUGCUGGGACUGAUGGCUGCAUUAGUUCCCCAAUGCAAUCAAGUUCACCAAAAAUUAGAGCAGACCAAGAAUAUCUCAUGAAGGUUUGUCUAUUCUGGAAGUUUCUAUUCCUUACAUGGAGUUUGGUCUUAAGAGGUUAUUUUAUUUAG